This 724-nucleotide ribosomal RNA is filed under the name Parachloritis argilacea. RNAcentral describes it as "partial 16S ribosomal RNA". The stretch from base 340 to 484 matches the Rfam family "Archaeal large subunit ribosomal RNA", at positions 1889 to 2083 of the family's 2987-position model. The record is from RNAcentral. Lineage: Eukaryota; Metazoa; Mollusca; Gastropoda; Stylommatophora; Camaenidae.
GUAGAUUUCACGAAAUUAUGUGAGCUAAUUAUUAUUAUUUAUUAUGUAGCAUAAUAAUAUUGCAAAUGAUAAUUAGGGGUGAUAGGCCUCUCAAACGUACGAUAUCUUGAUUCUUAUGAUACGUAAUAGUACCAAGACAGUUUAAGAGUUACAAGGCUCUUAAAAAUAAUAAAUUAUCAUUAAUAUAAUAAGUUGGUUUAAUAGCCCACGUUUUAAAUAUAAUAAUAUAAAUUACAGGUAAUUAUUUAGACUAAUAAGACGCAAUAAAUUUUUAAAUAUGAUGAUAAUGUUUCCAUUAGUAUUUAGAAGUUAUUAAUAGUGAAUUCGGCAUUUUGCUUUCAACUGUUUACCAAAAACAUAGCCAUGUGUAAAUACACAUGGUGCUUUCUGCUCAAUGAUAAUUAAAUAGCCGCAGUACCCUGACUGUGCAAAGGUAGCGUAAUCAUUUGUCUCUUAAUUGGAGUCGUGUAUGAAAGAAUUAAUGGGGGCAAUCUUUACCAUUAAUAAAUUCAAAACUUACUUAGUGGGUGCAAAUGCCCACAAAGAAAAAAUAGACGAGAAGACCCUAGAAAUUUAUAAAAACAUUUUGUUGGGGCAACAUAGUAGCAUAUAACCUACUUUAUGUAUAUGACACAUUAUAGAUAAGUUAAAUUACUCUAGGGAUAACAGCAUAAUUUAUAAAUGUUUGUGACCUCGAUGUUGGAUUAGGGAGUUGUUGUCUAGA